CAAUAGCGUAUAUUAAUGUUGUUGCAGUUAAAAAGCUCGUAGUUGGAUUUCUGGUGGGAGCGGCCGGUCCGCCGUAAGGUGUGUACUUGGUUGUCUCCUGUCAUCCUUGUGGGAACUGCUCUGGCAUUAAGUUGUCGGGGUUAGGGAACACAUCGUUUACUGUGAAAAAAUUAGAGUGUUUAAAGCAGGCUUAUGCCGUUGAAUACAUUAGCAUGGAAUAAUAAGAUAGGACUUUGGCGUCUAUUUUGUUGGUUUGCACACCAAGGUAAUGAUUAAUAGGGAUAGUUGGGGGUAUUCGUAUUUAAUUGUCAGAGGUGAAAUUCUUGGAUUUAUGAAAGACGGACUACUGCGAAAGCAUUUGCCAAGGAUGUUUUCAUUG
Molecule: ribosomal RNA, 379 nt
Filed under: uncultured eukaryote
Lineage: Eukaryota
Description: partial 18S ribosomal RNA
Rfam family: Eukaryotic small subunit ribosomal RNA
Source: RNAcentral